This 488-nucleotide ribosomal RNA is filed under the name uncultured bacterium. RNAcentral's name for it is "partial 16S ribosomal RNA". It matches the Rfam family "Bacterial small subunit ribosomal RNA", at positions 28 to 507 of the family's 1533-position model. The record is from RNAcentral.
GAUGAACGCUAGCGGCAGGCCUAAUACAUGCAAGUCGGACGGGAUCAAUCGGUAGCUUGCUGACCAUGGUGAGAGUGGCGCGUGGGUGCGUAACGCGUGCGCAACCUGCCUCCAUAAGGGGGCUAGCCUCUCGCAAGAGCGACUAACACCGCAUAACAUAUCAGACCGGCAUCGAUCGGAUAUCACAUAUUUAUAGGAUGGAGAUGGGCUCGCGUGACAUUAGCUUGUUGGUGGGGUAACGGCCCACCAAGGCGACGAUGUCUAGGGGCUCGGAGAGGAGAAUCCCCCAGACUUGUAACGAGGCCCGGACCAGACUGCGACGGGGCGCAGCAGUAAGGAAGAUUGGUCAAUGGGCGGAAGUCUAAACCAGCCAUGCCGCGUGCAGGAUGACUGGGCUUGGGGUUGUAAACUGCUUGGGUCGAAGAAUAAACGGCCAUACGUGGAGGGUGCUGAAGGUACCGGAAGAAUAAGCAUCGGCUAACUCCGUG